This 271-nucleotide ribosomal RNA is filed under the name uncultured archaeon. RNAcentral describes it as "partial 16S ribosomal RNA". It matches the Rfam family "Archaeal small subunit ribosomal RNA", at positions 477 to 747 of the family's 1478-position model. The record is from RNAcentral.
CAGCACCUCAAGUGGUCAGGAUGAUUAUUGGGCCUAAAGCGUUCGUAGCCGGUUUAGUAAAUCUUUUGUGAAAUCGUACAGCUCAACUGUACGGCGUGCAGAAGACACUGCUAAACUAGAGACCGGGAGGAGUCAGAGGUAUGCUGGGGGGACCGGUAAAAUGGGAUAAUCCUCAGUAGACCACCGAUGGCGAAGGCAUCUGACCAGAACGGAUCUGACGGUGAGGGACGAAAGCUAGGGGAGCGAUCCGGAUUAGAGACCCGAGUAGUCC